RNAcentral lists this ribosomal RNA (496 nucleotides) under uncultured bacterium. RNAcentral's name for it is "partial 16S ribosomal RNA". It matches the Rfam family "Bacterial small subunit ribosomal RNA", at positions 29 to 507 of the family's 1533-position model. The record is from RNAcentral.
AUGCACGCUGGCGGCGUGCCUCAUCCAUGCCAGUCGAGCGAACAGAUGAGGAGCUUGCUCCUCUGACGUUAGCGGCGGACGGGUGAGUAACACGUGGAUAACCUACCUAUAAGACUGGGAUAACUUCGGGAAACCGGAGCUAAUACCGGAUAAUAUAUUGAACCGCAUGGUUCAAUAGUGAAAGACGGUUUUGCUGUCACUUAUAGAUGGAUCCGCGCCGCAUUAGCUAGUUGGUAAGGUAACGGCUUACCAAGGCGACGAUGCGUAGCCGACCUGAAAGGGUGAUCGGCCACACUGGAACUGAGACACGGUCCAGACUCCUACGGGAGGCAGCAGUAGGGAAUCUUCCGCAAUGGGCGAAAGCCUGACGGAGCAACGCCGCGUGAGUGAUGAAGGUCUUCGGAUCGUAAAACUCUGUUAUUAGGGAAGAACAAAUGUGUAAGUAACUAUGCACGUCUUGACGGUACCUAAUCAGAAAGCCACGGCUAACUACGUG